CUGGAGUUUUAUUAACAUGAGAAUAAAACAACUUUAAAUAGGAGUGUGAGUUACCUGCCCCUUCUAGACCAAUACAACAGUAAGAGAAAGGUCUCUUUGAAGCUAACACUGUAAUGUAACUAUUAGGCCAGUACAAAUAAAUAUACAAAAGCAGAGUUAAUACUGAAAUUCUGUGAUGAAUGCCAAAGUUGCUAAACGGUAUAUCAAUCUCCGUUAAGAUAUAUAUUUUUAAUUUUGCCACUAUUUUGGCAACCCACCACAUUACUGUAUAGUGCGUAAACAUACUGUAUACAGCUCCCUUUACAUGCUAUUCACAUCCCAUUGCUUUUACUCAGGUAACAAUCUAACAUUUUGGUAAAGAGAGAUAAGAAUGAUAAAAAUUAUUAACAGUAGGAAACCUAAUUUAACUUAAUCACCCGGACCCAACUUCUCCAUUGUAAUUUUACCAUGCAUAAUUAGGUAGUAGUUCACUUUAUUUGAAUGAUGUAAUCCUUACAGAAAUGUAUUUAAUAAUUGAUCUAUAUCCAGAGCCUGUUCUUUGGGUAUAAUUUAAUGAGUACACAGGUGUUUCAUACUAUGAGCAUUAUUAUAAAAACAAAUUAAAAUGCUUUUGGGUAGCAUAUUCCAAUAACAUUGCUCAGUUUUAUCAAUAUAAACAGGCAAUUGAAGGCUAGAGGAGCUGAGCUGACAGUAUAGCCGACUUCGAGAUAAUGCUUACCAUUUGACUAAUUUAGUGAAUAACCCUAAAAGGGCUGAAAUCAUUGGAGGGCGUUUAGAAAGUGGAAUUGUAGGAUAAAGUUCGAUAACCACAAUGGAAACCGAUGAAAUGCUUCUGCAGACGGCUCCAAUUUUAGAACACUGAUC
Non-coding RNA from Pelobates cultripes (western spadefoot toad), 864 nucleotides. NCBI's taxonomy places the organism in Eukaryota, Metazoa, Chordata, Amphibia, Anura, Pelobatidae. The record is from the annotation of a GenBank genome assembly.